Molecule: ribosomal RNA, 1221 nt
Filed under: Salmonella enterica subsp. enterica serovar Typhimurium
Lineage: Bacteria; Pseudomonadati; Pseudomonadota; Gammaproteobacteria; Enterobacterales; Enterobacteriaceae
Description: partial 23S ribosomal RNA
Rfam family: Bacterial large subunit ribosomal RNA
Source: RNAcentral
UAACACUAACUGGAGGACCGAACCGACUAAUGUUGAAAAAUUAGCGGAUGACCUGUGGCUGGGGGUGAAAGGCCAAUCAAACCGGGAGAUAGCUGGUUCUCCCCGAAAGCUAUUUAGGUAGCGCCUCGUGAAUUCAUCUCCGGGGGUAGAGCACUGUUUCGGCUAGGGGGCCAUCCCGGCUUACCAACCCGAUGCAAACUGCGAAUACCGGAGAAUGUUAUCACGGGAGACACACGGCGGGUGCUAACGUCCGUCGUGAAGAGGGAAACAACCCAGACCGCCAGCUAAGGUCCCAAAGUCAUGGUUAAGUGGGAAACGAUGUGGGAAGGCCCAGACAGCCAGGAUGUUGGCUUAGAAGCAGCCAUCAUUUAAAGAAAGCGUAAUAGCUCACUGGUCGAGUCGGCCUGCGCGGAAGAUGUAACGGGGCUAAACCAUGCACCGAAGCUGCGGCAGCGAACGUAUCACCCAAGACAACUUUACGGAGUUGACGAUUGACGGAGCGAAGCGACGUCAAAGCGUUCAUUAAAGUCGAGUUGGCUUAGGGAUACGUUCGUUGGGUAGGGGAGCGUUCUGUAAGCCUGUGAAGGUGUGUCGUGAGGCAUGCUGGAGGUAUCAGAAGUGCGAAUGCUGACAUAAGUAACGAUAAAGCGGGUGAAAAGCCCGCUCGCCGGAAGACCAAGGGUUCCUGUCCAACGUUAAUCGGGGCAGGGUGAGUCGACCCCUAAGGCGAGGCCGAAAGGCGUAGUCGAUGGGAAACGGGUUAAUAUUCCCGUACUUGGUGUUACUGCGAAGGGGGGACGGAGAAGGCUAUGUUGGCCGGGCGACGGUUGUCCCGGUUUAAGCGUGUAGGUGUGUGUUCCAGGUAAAUCCGGUUCACUUUAACACUGAGGCGUGACGACGAGGCACUACGGUGCUGAAGCAACAAAUGCCCUGCUUCCAGGAAAAGCCUCUAAGCAUCAGGUAACACGAAAUCGUACCCCAAACCGACACAGGUGGUCAGGUAGAGAAUACCAAGGCGCUUGAGAGAACUCGGGUGAAGGAACUAGGCAAAAUGGUGCCGUAACUUCGGGAGAAGGCACGCUGACACGUAGGUGAAGUGAUUUACUCAUGGAGCUGAAGUCAGUCGAAGAUACCAGCUGGCUGCAACUGUUUAUUAAAAACACAGCACUGUGCAAACACGAAAGUGGACGUAUACGGUGUGACGCCUGCCCGGUGCCGGAA